GGCGGGACAUGUGAACCCUAAAAAUUUGAGAAAAUUUCAUUCUUAAAUUUGAGAACCACUGAUUAAUCCUUCAGUCUCCCACUGAGAGUAGUAACCACCGCUCUCUCCCACUGUGAGUCGUCCUUCUUCGCCGUCCUUCUUCGCGAGGUAAGUUCUCAUGUUAACUAUCGCUCUUCGCGAAGGCACUUCCGCUACUCUCAGGUUAACUGUCGCUCUCUCCAUUGUUGCAUAAACCCUCUCAAUUCUCUAUUGUUUCCGGAACCCUGUCAAUUCCUCUCCAUUGCUGCAGAAAAGAAAGCAAUGGGAAGGACGACGAGAAAAUUAAAUAUUGGGCAUUGCAUAUUAAAAGAAUCCAACCAAGGAAGUAAUGCUACUCAAACAACCUCUACUCAUGCCGAAGGAAGUAAUGUUGAAGAAACUCAUAUAACUUCAACUGAUGCCCAAGGAAGAACUAAAGAAACAUGAUAAUGAGGUUGGAACAUCUCAAUCGGUCCAAGAGAUACAAAGUCACAUGCCUUGGAAGGAUGAUAUAUAUAUAUAUAUAUUCCAAAGUACAAGGACCUGAAAAAAGAGGACCAGUGUGUUGUAUGGGCAAGAUUCCCAAAACCAAAAAAUUGAAAGCUUCUUUGUCCGAAAAUCAAGAGUUACGCGAUAAAGUUAAGCAAAUGCAAGAACAACAAAACAAUACAAAUGCGGUGUUGGUAAAUGUGUUGUCAUUGAUUCAAAAUCGAUUUUCUGGAGAAGAUGUGAAUGACAUUUUACGAGCUGCAAGACAGGUUACUGAUUCUUCUAGUUCCCCUAACCAAACGGAUUCUCCAAAUCCAUACACUAACGAAGAUUAAAGAGAGAAAACGUAUAUUGUGUUCUGGGUUCUUUGCUGUCCUGUUUGGCUGGUUUUGGGGGCUGCUACUAUCUAGUUGGAUUCCGUUGCAAGUCUGUUUCAGAUUAUUGUUUGGUAGGGAUGACAUACACAUGUAUUUUGGUGGUUGAUAGUUUUUCGAUUGGUAGUUUUAGGGUGAAUUACAAGCAAACAGUGGCUGUCAUGUUGCUUUCAAGUUGUACUAAUUUUAUUUAACUUUAAAAAAAUUGGUGCAAUUUCAAUUUUGGAGAUUUUUCUAGUUAACAUUGUUUUGGUGUUUUAAUAUACUUUGUUAGUUUAAGAUGUUUGCAAGACUUAUUAGUUUUUUAAUAUAGUCUGCAAAUUUUUGUUAUUACUAAAAAAAAGUACCUAUUAUUAAAAAAAAU
Molecule: RNA transcript, 1245 nt
Organism: Trifolium pratense (red clover)
Lineage: Eukaryota; Viridiplantae; Streptophyta; Magnoliopsida; Fabales; Fabaceae
Exons: 3
Source: RefSeq, a predicted model, not a curated record